CAUGAUUGUAGAAAAUAUGCACCCCAAGCCAUGAUAGGAAUUAUCAAGAACUCUAAGAGAUUCAUUAGUACAUAACCAUACCAUAAAAACCGAAUUCCUCAAACCCAUCCAAGUCACGCAGGUCGCCAAGCCUAAGAGUAUUGCCAGAAAAUACCUAUAGAGACUUGUCACAUCAUAAACAUUCAAAGAACGGAUCAUAUCCAUUACCGUGCUGAUCCAACCUACUACAAAGCUAGCAUAUUUCAUCGAGUUCCUUCUGAAUUACCUUCAAGUUAACACUUCUCCUUGCCCAAAGCUUACCACAAGAGAUCCUAGCAUAAAACCAUGUCAUCCUAACGCCCAUAAGCCGUACUAUUCCCUAUUAAGCACCUCAAAAGUACCAAAAUUGAGACACCCACUAUAAAGAGACCUUCAACAAAUCUAAGCAUUUUCUUAAUCUCUAUGAUAUUUAAAUAUAUACAUAAUGAUACAGAACUACCGAGAGUACUGACACCAUCCAAUGCAAUCUCAAAUCGUACCCAUUUACAAAUCCAAAAAAUUCUCAAAUGUCACAUAUGAAUAUUGAACUCUGUAGAACCUUCUCGAGAGUUAUCUACCCCAUUCAAAUCUCACUCUCCAACUCCACCAAUCGAACGACUAACACAUCUCUCGUACACUAUCGUAU
Molecule: long non-coding RNA, 664 nt
Filed under: Nicotiana benthamiana
Lineage: Eukaryota; Viridiplantae; Streptophyta; Magnoliopsida; Solanales; Solanaceae
Description: long non-coding RNA (NBEN_LNC009183)
Source: RNAcentral